Molecule: unclassified non-coding RNA, 215 nt
Filed under: Glomeraceae sp.
Lineage: Eukaryota; Fungi; Glomeromycota; Glomeromycetes; Glomerales; Glomeraceae
Description: partial contains 5.8S ribosomal RNA and internal transcribed spacer 2
Rfam family: 5.8S ribosomal RNA (bases 1-72)
Source: RNAcentral
GUGAAUCAUCAAAUCUUUGAACGCAAAUUGCACUCUCCGGUUUUCCGGGAGAGUAUGCCUGUUUGAGGGUCAGCCUAAAAAAAAUCGACAUUUUUGCGGUUUUAUGGUGAUUUUCGUCGGGGAUGGGUUAUCUUAAAUCACGGUUUAGUCGACUUAAAAAUUUUUUUUCCGAUUUUAAGAAUGUUUCUAAGUUUUUUUUGGUACGUUUAAGGUAU